RNAcentral lists this ribosomal RNA (498 nucleotides) under uncultured bacterium. Its description in RNAcentral is "partial 16S ribosomal RNA". It matches the Rfam family "Bacterial small subunit ribosomal RNA", at positions 30 to 523 of the family's 1533-position model. The record is from RNAcentral.
AUUGAACGCUGGCGGCAUGCCUUACACAUGCAAGUCGAACGGUAACAGGUCUUCGGAUGCUGACGAGUGGCGAACGGGUGAGUAAUACAUCGGAACGUGCCUAGUAGUGGGGGAUAACUACUCGAAAGAGUGGCUAAUACCGCAUGAGAUCUACGGAUGAAAGCAGGGGAUCGCAAGACCUUGUGCUACUAGAGCGGCAGAUGGCAGAUUAGGUAGUUGGUGGGAUAAAAGCUUACCAAGCCGACGAUCUGUAGCUGGUCUGAGAGGACGAUCAGCCACUCUGGGACUGAGACACGGCCCAGACUCCUACGGGAGGCAGCAGUGGGGAAUUUUGGACAAUGGGCGAAAGCCUGAUCCAGCAAUGCCGCGUGCAGGAUGAAGGCCUUCGGGUUGUAAACUGCUUUUGUACGGAACGGAAAGCCCCGGGUUAAUACCCUGGGGUCAUGACGGUACCGUAAGAAUAAGCACCGGCUAACUACGUGCCUGCAGCCGCCGCGG